This 545-nucleotide long non-coding RNA is filed under the name Glycine max (soybean). RNAcentral describes it as "long non-coding RNA (GMAX_LNC001257)". Lineage: Eukaryota; Viridiplantae; Streptophyta; Magnoliopsida; Fabales; Fabaceae. The record is from RNAcentral.
UUUUAUAUCAGAUUAUCUUUGCACUCAAUGUUCCAAGGGUGAAUUUAUAAAGCUAAAUAAAUUCUCCAAAUUUGGAUAUUGGAUGCAAACAAGAAUAUGGAGAGGUUAUCCAUUAGUGUUGGCUAAUGCAUGCUGGUAAGGCCCGUUGGGAACUUUGAUCCCUUUUGAUUGCCCUCAAUUCAUGUAAAGGAUCAAAGUAGUCCUAAGCAACUUUAACCUUCUACUAGUUUGCUGUUUUUUACGUUUUUUAACUGCUUGCAAACAAAGUUGCUGUGAUACUCUGUCUUCUGGUGCCUUGUAAAGGUAUUGUAGUUUAUUACAAUGAUGAAAGUUAUAUAAAGCAGAUGUUUCGUUGGAGUUUAAAUUAGUAGAGAAGCAAAGUAAUUUACUAAUUCUGGGCCGAAUUAUGUUAAAACCAAUGAUGUUGAUCUGGAUCUUCCCCUGUUCUCUUUCACCACUUGGAUUCUUUCUAUGCGUAAGAUGUUUUGCAGCAUGUUCCAUGUAAAAGUCACACCCACUGAAAUUAAUUUGAGGUGGAAUCUGUG